RNAcentral lists this ribosomal RNA (301 nucleotides) under uncultured bacterium. Its description in RNAcentral is "partial 16S ribosomal RNA". It matches the Rfam family "Bacterial small subunit ribosomal RNA", at positions 509 to 808 of the family's 1533-position model. The record is from RNAcentral.
CAGCCGCCGCGGGAAUACGAGGGGGGCAAGCGUUGUUCGGAAUUAUUGGGCGUAAAGGGUGCGUAGGCGGCUUGACAAGUCUUGUGUGAAAUCUAUGGGCUCAACCCAUAGUCUGCACGGGAAACUGUCGGGCUUGAGAAUGGGAGAGGUGAGUGGAAUUUCCGGUGUAGCGGUGAAAUGCGUAGAUAUCGGAAGGAACACCUGUGGCGAAAGCGGCUCACUGGACCAUUUCUGACGCUGAUGCACGAAAGCUAGGGGAGCAACGGGAUUAGAGACCCCUGUAGUCCCUGUCUCUUAUACA